CCUAGUUUUUUAUGUGAUCUGUCAGCUGCCGCAGCCUGAGCGGACAUUAACAUCACAAACAUGACUAAAAUCUGGGAUCUGAUUCGACCUAAUUUUCUUUUCAUUUUCUCUCUAAUCUUCAACAUUCUUAUUCCCCUUUUGUUUUCUCUUAGGAUCUGACAGCUCCCUUCUCUCACCAACACCAAUCUUUGUUAAAACUCUCGCAUAUGCUGUCUCGUGAAUCUCACAGUCAUGGGAAAAAACCUCGCCGCCGAGAAAUGAAUUUCCCAAAUUCGAAACCAUAAUGGAUCUGGAGAAAGCAGGUACGAUGUGUUUCAUCUCAAGCAGAUAUGUCGAUCCUUGUUAGAUGUUCGUCCUUAAAAGGAUACUCAAAAAGGCUUGCUGAGGUUUUCUCAAAGGAUGUCAUAUCUUUCUUGGCUAGCUGUCAAAACUUGGUUCCACGACCGUGGGUCAUUGAUGACUUGGACAACUUCCAAGCCAAAUGGAUCAAGAAGCCUUGGAAGAAGGCAGUGAUUUUUGUUGAUAAUUCUGGUGCCGACAUAAUUUUGGGUAUUUUGUCGUUUGCAAGAGAGUUGCUCCUUCGUGGAACUCAGGUAUGUACUUUUGACAAUGACCGAGUCUUUCUCUUUUUAUUUCACCUUGAAGGUGCUUCUAGCUGCUAACGAGCUGCCAGCGAGCUGCCAGCUAUCAACGAUGUAACAUAUACAAAGCUUACUGAUAUCGUGUCUCAGGUGAUGAAUGAAGUAAUUCUUGAUUUUAACUAGUUUAAAGAAAAGUGAAUCUGGUUUAUUAGACUUAAUCUACCAGUUGAAGGAUGAGAAUGGCCAAUUGUUAGGUGUUGAUACUUCAAAGCUUAUUAGUGAAGCGCAAUCAAACAAAGUAUUUAACUAAUCUUGGCUUAGUUAACUUAGCAGCCGUUUUAUUCAGGGUUGUGGAAUCGAGACAAACCUUUAUGCUCAGUUUCAAGUGUGAUUCUCUCAAUAUUGGAAUGGAUAUGAAGUCUAUGUUGAUCAUGUUGCCACGUAUUUGGCAAGUGGAGGGGAGGGUUGCUGGUGUUGAUUUGGGAUCUAGAAAAUUUCAAUUUGAUUUUGAUGUGGAGGCUUAUAUUAUUGAAGUUUUGAAGAUAGAACCAUUAUAUUUCGACUGUUGGAUAGUUUCUUUGGUUCGGUGGACACCAGUGGUGGAUCCAGCUUAUUCGUUGUCUCUUGAGUUUUGGAUCCGUGUUACUGAUGUUCCUAUUCAGUUCUUAGCAGAUCCUACUUUUAGAGAUAUUGGAUCUUAUUUGGGUACCGUCUAAGAUGUGGAUAUAGAUAGAGGGUGUGUGCAGGUCACCAUUGAUGGUCUAAGGCCUCUAUGUUUUGAAACAAAUUGAGUUUUUAAAGGUGAGGAAACGAUUGUUAAGCUCUUUUUUGAGCGGUUAUAUGGUUGCUGUAAAGUUUGUUUCAACUUGUGUCAUGAUGAGACGAUGUGCCCACAGUCUCUAGGGUUUGCUUAAGGAGGUAACUUGGUUUGCUCGGAGGAGGAUCAGGGGAAGGGUCAACAUAUGAGCUAGAAGGGUGCUGUUUUGGGAGAUACGAGGAGGGGUGCUAGUAAUGUUGGGGCGAUUAAGGGCAGUCAUAAAGGGUCUCCCAAGUCUAGGGACAUACUAGUUUGGACGAGAAUCCUCGUCUGGUCCUAAGGGAUCUUCCAAUCUAGGAUUCCAUCAGGAGCAUCAGGAGAAACAUGGUGUAUAUCAGGGUCAGACAAGGCAGCGAUCCGAUCUAGUCCGGCUGUCGGUUUCUGCGGGGUUAAAGGAGACAGAGGUGGAUCAACAAAAUAUUAACUACAGAUUUUUUUGGCACGUCAAGUGCGUACAUCUCCACAUAAUGUCUUGUCUGUGAAUCUUUUCUCACCUAAUUAGCUUAUAUGAGCUGAUUUACUUCCAUAGGACCCAUCCUUACAAUAGCAGACAAAUUUCCUGAAGUCUGAUUGCAUCCACAAGCACCCUUAGAUUCAAUGCACCUUGAACAGUUUCCAUUAUGCUCAACCUGGAAACCCUUUUGAAGAGUCUUCUGUAGAUUAUCUAGACGCGAUGUGUUCAAGGCCGAUGCAUACACUGGUAUACUGACACCUUUUUUGCAAUUUUCCCUCAAGUUGUCAGAUUGAAGGUCGUUACUGUCGUAUAGUGAAGGAGAGGAGACGUUUCUCGUCACAGUAGUUUGUUGAAGCUCUUUUAUCACUUCCACAAUGAAGCUCUCCUAAGUAAGAAGCAUCAAGAGAUGAAAGUUUUUAGCAGCCGUAAUAAAUUGUUAGCAUCUCGAUCUGAGGAGCGAAUGGAAGUACACUGUCAAGGAAUGUUGCAUUCACUGCGUCUAGGGGACACAUAUUGUUUAUGUAAUCCAAUCUUGCGAGUCUUAUGAUACCAGAGUCAUAAUUGGCUUCUAAGAUUCUGUACGUCGCUAAGGAGAUGGUUAGCUCUGCGAAUUCUUUGCUACAAUCAAGCUUGAAAUAGGGAUGGCCACAGUCUUCUCUCCCACGUACCAAGAAUGGGUACAAGAGACUGGCCUGAUCCCCGCAUCGAAAUGGUUGACUGGAGCGUUCGUAAUGCUCAUAAGCUGAUUAAAAAGAACAAUUUGAGAUCACACAAAGGCUUUGUGACAAAGCCAUCCCUAAGAAAACUCUAUGCUUUAAAAUUCGAAGAACACAUCUUAUAUAAUAAGAGAAGGUUUUUUCUAAUAUUGUCUCACAAUGUGACAUUUGACACUGUACUUUUGUGACACAUGCCAUUCUUAUUAAUUUCAAAUUUAACAUUCUAUUUU
Molecule: non-coding RNA, 2798 nt
Organism: Camelina sativa (false flax)
Lineage: Eukaryota; Viridiplantae; Streptophyta; Magnoliopsida; Brassicales; Brassicaceae
Source: RefSeq, a predicted model, not a curated record